AGAGUUUGAUCCUGGCUCAGGACGAACGCUGGCGGCGUGCUUAACACAUGCAAGUCGAACGGAAAGGCCCUUCGGGGUACUCGAGUGGCGAACGGGUGAGUAACACGUGGGUGAUCUGCCCUGCACUUUGGGAUAAGCCUGGGAAACUGGGUCUAAUACCGAAUAUGACCAUGCGCCUCCUGGUGUGUGGUGGAAAGCUUUUGCGGUGUGGGAUGGGCCCGCGGCCUAUCAGCUUGUUGGUGGGGUAAUGGCCUACCAAGGCGACGACGGGUAGCCGGCCUGAGAGGGUGACCGGCCACACUGGGACUGAGAUACGGCCCAGACUCCUACGGGAGGCAGCAGUGGGGAAUAUUGCACAAUGGGCGCAAGCCUGAUGCAGCGACGCCGCGUGAGGGAUGACGGCCUUCGGGUUGUAAACCUCUUUCAGCACAGACGAAGCGCAAGUGACGGUAUGUGCAGAAGAAGGACCGGCCAACUACGUGCCAGCAACCGCGGUAAUACGUAGGGUCCGAGCGUUGUCCGGAAUUACUGGGCGUAAAGAGCUCGUAGGUGGUUUGUCGCGUUGUUCGUGAAAACUCACAGCUUAACUGUGGGCGUGCGGGCGAUACGGGCAGACUUGAGUACUGCAGGGGAGACUGGAAUUCCUGGUGUAGCGGUGGAAUGCGCAGAUAUCAGGAGGAACACCGGUGGCGAAGGCGGGUCUCUGGGCAGUAACUGACGCUGAGGAGCGAAAGCGUGGGGAGCGAACAGGAUUAGAUACCCUGGUAGUCC
Molecule: ribosomal RNA, 771 nt
Filed under: uncultured bacterium
Lineage: Bacteria
Description: bacterial SSU rRNA
Rfam family: Bacterial small subunit ribosomal RNA
Source: RNAcentral